UUAAAGUUUUAUUCUAGCUUAAAAAUUUGUUUUUAGAUUAUUUUACAUGCUAAUUUUUGUGACAUAAAAAUUAAACUUAAAGUUUUUGUUAUUAGCAGUGAUUGGUAUUAUUAAUUAAGUGAUCUUAGAAAUAGUAAUUUUAAUCAAAGUUGACUAAUUUUGUGCCAGCAGUCGCGGUUAUACAAAAAAUUUAAAUAAAUUUUAUUAGUUUAUAGUUAAAUGUUGUUAAAUAUUUUAUAAUUUAUAUUAAUUUUUUUAGGUGAAAUUUUAAAUUUAAUUAAGUUAUAUUAUUAACAUAAAUUGAAGCUUGAAAAUUUUAAAUUUAAACUAGGAUUAGAUACCCUAUUAUUUAAAAUGUAAAAUUAAAAACUAAGGUAGUAAUAGAUAUGAUCUUGAAACUUAAAGAAGUUUGGCGGUAUUUUAGUCUAUUCAGAGGAACCUGUUAAUUAAUCGAUAAUCCACGAUGGAUCUUACUUGAGUUUGUGAUCAGCUUGUAUACCGCCGUUAUUGAAGAUUCUAUUAGGAUAAUAAUUUUCUAUAAUUUAAUUAAAAAUAUAUGUCAGGUCAAGGUGCAGUUUAUAUUCAAGGAUUUAAUAAUGGGUUACAAUAAUAUUAAUUAUAUGGAUGAAGGAUUUAAAUUUUCUUUUGAAGGUGGAUUUGAUAGUAAAAUUAUAUAGAUUGAUAAUUUGAUUAUAGCUCUAAAAUAUGUACACAUCGCCCGUCGCUCUUAUUAUUAAAGUAAGAUAAGUCGUAACAUAGUAGAUGUACUGGAAAGUGUAUCUAGAAUAA
Molecule: non-coding RNA, 789 nt
Filed under: Villa sp.
Lineage: Eukaryota; Metazoa; Arthropoda; Insecta; Diptera; Bombyliidae
Source: RNAcentral